CGGGGCGUAGCGUAGCCCGGUUAGCGCGCUGGCCUGGGGGGCCAGAGGUCGCCGGUUCGAAUCCGGCCGCCCCGA
This 75-nucleotide transfer RNA is filed under the name Bacteroidia bacterium. RNAcentral describes it as "tRNA-Pro". It matches the Rfam family "tRNA". From Rfam's summary of the family: Transfer RNA (tRNA) molecules are approximately 80 nucleotides in length. RNAcentral also lists the same sequence under 1 other name. The record is from RNAcentral. Lineage: Bacteria; Pseudomonadati; Bacteroidota; Bacteroidia.